This 497-nucleotide ribosomal RNA is filed under the name uncultured bacterium. Its description in RNAcentral is "partial 16S ribosomal RNA". It matches the Rfam family "Bacterial small subunit ribosomal RNA", at positions 28 to 507 of the family's 1533-position model. The record is from RNAcentral.
GUUGAACGCUGGCGGCGUGCCUAAUACAUGCAAGUCGAGCGAACAGAUGAGGAGCUUGCUCCUCUGACGUUAGCGGCGGACGGGUGAGUAACACGUGGAUAACCUACCUAUAAGACUGGGAUAACUUCGGGAAACCGGAGCUAAUACCGGAUAAUAUAUUGAACCGCAUGGUUCAAUAGUGAAAGACGGUUUUGCUGUCACUUAUAGAUGGAUCCGCGCCGCAUUAGCUAGUUGGUAAGGUAACGGCUUACCAAGGCAACGAUGCGUAGCCGACCUGAGAGGGUGAUCGGCCACACUGGAACUGAGACACGGUCCAGACUCCUACGGGAGGCAGCAGUAGGGAAUCUUCCGCAAUGGGCGAAAGCUUGACGGAGCAACGCCGCGUGAGUGAUGAAGGUCUUCGGAUCGUAAAACUCUGUUAUUAGGGAAGAACAAAUGUGUAAGUAACUAUGCACGUCUUGACGGUACCUAAUCAGAAAGCCACGGCUAACUACGUG